Molecule: unclassified non-coding RNA, 1461 nt
Filed under: Hevea brasiliensis (rubber tree)
Lineage: Eukaryota; Viridiplantae; Streptophyta; Magnoliopsida; Malpighiales; Euphorbiaceae
Source: RNAcentral
UUUUUUUUUUUUUUUUUUGGAGAAUCCGUAUUCUGCAGGUUUGAAAAUAGUUGGGUAUUUAAUUGAAAGUCAGAUUGAAUUGAGGGUGAGCUUCUAGCCAUUGAACUGAAAAACUAAAAUGAACUAUUCAGUUGGGUUUCCUCUCUAAGAUCAGUUCAAUUCAUGAUUCUGGAAUUUCAAUUGCUUGAUUUUCUCAAAAACCAAAUUGAACUGAACUAAACCGAAAAACACUCAGCCCUGCAGAUAGCAGGGUUAAUAUCCUGUCAUCUCAAAGCUUCCAUCUUAUGUGUAUCCACGUAAUAUGCUACAAUUAGAAAAAGAAUAAAUUUUCUCUCAGAAGCUGAAAGCAAAAACUAAUAGGUAGUAAGAUUAAACACGGUCCCCUUUAGUUUACAAGAUUAUAAGCUAGAAUUAGAAUGAAAAGAGAAAAUGAAGGUGGCAAAAAUAUAGAGAAAAACAUUUUUGUCUCCCAAGUCAUACAGUACCAGCAAGCUUUAACACCAUGGCAUGGCAACCACAGCCUCAUCUGUUUAGGACUAGUCCAGCCACACAAAAUAGACAUAUAAAUAUGCAUGAAUUCAUGUGCAUACCCACACAGCUAAAUACAUGUCCAGGCCCAUGUAUUUUUAUACAAAAAAUGCAAUUGAGAGAUUUUGAAGUUCUAUUUUGUUCAACUGAACACAGCUUUAAUUUUUGAAUCAAUAUUGUAGGAAAGAAUCAAAAUAAUCUUGCAACUUCAAAAAUGAUCCAAAAAAAAAAACUCAAGGAAAGAUGAAAGCAUCAUGAAGUGAUGAAGCCAGCCAAUGUUGCAGAUAAAGGGAUAGAGAGACAGAUUGGGAGGAGAUUGAGAGGGUGAAAGUGAAAUAACAACAAGACAGAUCAGGAUUCCACAGUUCCACUGUUGCAGGGAAAAUGAACAAAGGGGCAUUGGCAAAUGGAAGAAAAAGAGAGAGAGAGAGUAGAGAAACCAAAAAUUUCAAUCACUUUUUCAGCACUAACAGAACCCAUUAAGACUAUUUUUAAGGCCUCCAGCUUCCUAAUGUUACAAGUUGAUCUUUUUGCGAUACGCAUUUGAAGAUGGACUGAUGCCCCUCUGAUUUUGACCAUUGCCUUCCUUUGUCUUUGUUUUCGCUUGUAGUGAGAAGGAGAAGGAGACUGAAAAAUGGUAACUCAAGACUUAACGCCCUUGAUCUAGCCAAAUAGAAGGUAAUUUCUGGCAAUACCAUUAAAAAUAUCAAGAGUGAAACACAACUCCAACAAUUAUGAUGCAUAGUGACAAUGAAGACUUCUUUUCUGGGUUUUUCCUGAGUGCAUUUUUAGUAUUGUUUAAUAGUGGUUUUUUUUAUUGUUUUAAUUUGCUUUGGUAAUGCAAUGGUGAGAAGUGUUUUGAUAUGAGGGUUUUUGGGGGGUAUAGGUGAUCAGUUUUUCUUUGAUUCUGGUUAUGUCAUUAAUGUUCUUGCU